Molecule: ribosomal RNA, 563 nt
Filed under: uncultured bacterium
Lineage: Bacteria
Description: bacterial SSU rRNA
Rfam family: Bacterial small subunit ribosomal RNA
Source: RNAcentral
CCUACGGGAGGCAGCAGUGGGGAAUCUUGCACAAUGGGGGAAACCCUGAUGCAGCGACGCCGCGUGAGUGAUGAAGCCCUUCGGGGUGUAAAGCUCUUUCGGCAGGAACGAUAAUGACGGUACCUGCAGAAGAAGCUGCGGCUAACUACGUGCCAGCAGCCGCGGUAAUACGUAGGCAGCAAGCGUUGUUAGGAAUUACUGGGCGUAAAGAGUGUGUAGGUGGUGUCGUAAGUUUGGUGUGAAAUCUGCCGGCUUAACUGGGAGGGUGCGCCGAAGACUGCGAUGCUGGAGUAUGGGAGAGGAAAGCGGAAUUCCUGGUGUAGCGGUGAAUUGAGUAGAUAUGCGGAGGAACACUGAUGGAGAAGGCAAUCCCCUGGACCUGUACUGAUGGUCAUGCACGAAAGCGUGGGGAGCAAGGCAGGAUUAUAUACCGUGUUAGUCCUCGCCCUAAUUGAUGUCAAUUGGUUGUUGGGAAGGUUCCUUCUCAGUAAUGUAGCUAAUCGCGUGAAGUUGACCGCCUGGGGAGUACGGCCGCUAGGUUGACAACUCAAAGGUAUUGUCGG